This 497-nucleotide ribosomal RNA is filed under the name uncultured bacterium. RNAcentral describes it as "partial 16S ribosomal RNA". It matches the Rfam family "Bacterial small subunit ribosomal RNA", at positions 28 to 507 of the family's 1533-position model. The record is from RNAcentral.
GAUGAACGCUGGCGGCGUGCUUAAUACAUGCAAGUCGAGCGAACGGACGAGGCUCUUGCUGUUCUGAUGUUAGCCGAGGGCGGGUGAGUAACACGUGGAACACCUACUUAUCAGACGGGGAUAACUUCGAGAAACCGGAGCUAAUACCGGAUAAUAUUUUGAACCGCAUGGGUCAAAGGAGAAAUACGGUCUUGCUGUCACUUAUCGAUGGUUCCGCGCUGCAUUAGCUAGUUGGUAAGGUAACGGCUUACCAAGGCAACGAGGCGUAGCCGACCUGAGGGGCGGGUCGCCCACACGAGAGCGUGGACGCGGUCCAGACGACUGCGAGAGGCAGCAGAAGGGUAUCUGCCGCAGUAGGCGAGAGCAUGACGGAACGAGGCGGAGUGAGAGAUGAAAGUCUCCGGUGCGUAAAACUCUGUUAUUAGGGAAGAACAGAUGUGUAAGUUGAUGUAGACAUCUUGACGGUACCUAAUCAGAAAGCACCGGCUAACUACGUG